GAAUUUUGGACAAUGGGGGCAACCCUGAUCCAGCCAUCCCGCGUGUGCGAUGAAGGCCCUCGGGUUGUAAAGUCCUUUUGGCAGGGAAGAAAAGGCUCUGGCUAAUACCUGGAGCUGCUGACGGUACCUGGAGAAUAAGCACCGGCUAACGACGUGCCAGCAGCCGCGGUAAUACGUAUGGUGCAGGCGUUAAUCGGAAUUACUGGGCGUAAAGCGUGCGCAGGCGGUUCGGCAAGAAGGAUGUGAAAUCCCAGGGCUUAACCUUGGAACUGCAUUCUUAACUGCCGGGCUAGAGUAUGUCAGAGGGGGGUAGAAUUCCGCGUGUAGCAGUGAAAUGCGUAGAGAUGCGGAGGAAUACCGAUGGCGAAGGCAGCCCCCUGGGAUAAUACUGACGCUCAUGCACGAAAGCGUGGGGAGCAAAC
This 422-nucleotide ribosomal RNA is filed under the name uncultured bacterium. RNAcentral's name for it is "bacterial SSU rRNA". It matches the Rfam family "Bacterial small subunit ribosomal RNA", at positions 359 to 773 of the family's 1533-position model. The record is from RNAcentral.